AGAGUUUGAUCCUGGCUCAGGAUGAACGCUAGCGACAGGCUUAACACAUGCAAGUCGAGGGGCAGCGGGGGAGUGGCAACACUUCCGCCGGCGACCGGCGCACGGGUGAGUAACACGUAUGAAACCCGCCCGCAGCAGGGGGAUAAGCGGAAGAAAUUCCGUCUAAUACCGCGUAAUGCCGCGGGGCUGCAUGGCCCUGCGGCCAAAGGAAGCGAUUCCGGCAACGGAUGGGCAUGCGUGACAUUAGCUAGUUGGCGGGGCAACGGCCCACCAAGGCGACGAUGUCUAGGGGUUCUGAGAGGAAGGUCCCCCACACUGGUACUGAGACACGGACCAGACUCCUACGGGAGGCAGCAGUGAGGAAUAUUGGUCAAUGGGCGCGAGCCUGAACCAGCCAAGCCGCGUGAGGGAUGACGGCCCUACGGGUUGUAAACCUCUUUUGUCGGGGAGCAAAUUCCGCCACGCGUGGCGGAGUCGAGAGUACCCGAAGAAAAAGCAUCGGCUAACUCCGUGCCAGCAGCCGCGGUAAUACGGAGGAUGCGAGCGUUAUCCGGAUUUAUUGGGUUUAAAGGGUGCGUAGGCGGACUGUCAAGUCAGCGGUAAAAUACGGGGGCUCAACCUCCGCCCGCCGUUGAAACUGACGGUCUUGAGUGGGCGAGAAGUAUGCGGAAUGCGUGGUGUAGCGGUGAAAUGCUUAGAUAUCACGCAGAACUCCGAUUGCGAAGGCAGCAUACCGGCGCCCAACUGACGCUGAAGCACGAAAGCGUGGGUAUCGAACAGGAUUAGAUACCCUGGUAGUCCACGCAGUAAACGAUGAAUACUAGCUGUCCGGGGCGAAUGGGCCCUGGGUGGCACAGCGAAAGCGUUAAGUAUUCCACCUGGGGAGUACGCCGGCAACGGUGAAACUCAAAGGAAUUGACGGGGGCCCGCACAAGCGGAGGAAAAUGUGGUUUAAUUCGAUGAUACGCGAGGAACCUUACCCGGGCUCAAACGACACAGGAACAGCCCUGAAAGGGGUCGGCUCUACGGAGCCUGUGUCGAGGUGCUGCAUGGUUGUCGUCAGCUCGUGCCGUGAGGUGUCGGCUUAAGUGCCAUAACGAGCGCAACCCCCAUCGACAGUUGCUAACAGGUUAGGCUGAGGACUCUGUCGAGACUGCCGGCGCAAGCUGCGAGGAAGGCGGGGAUGACGUCAAAUCAGCACGGCCCUUACGUCCGGGGGGACACACGUGUUACAAUGGCAGGUACAGCGGGAAGCCACCUGGCGACAGGGAGCGGAACCCGAAAGCCUGUCUCAGUUGGGAUUGGAGUCUGCAACCCGACUCCAUGAAGCUGGAUUCGCUAGUAAUCGCGCAUCAGCCACGGCGCGGUGAAUACGUUCCCGGGCCUUGCACACACCGCCCGUCA
Molecule: ribosomal RNA, 1404 nt
Filed under: uncultured bacterium
Lineage: Bacteria
Description: 16S ribosomal RNA
Rfam family: Bacterial small subunit ribosomal RNA
Source: RNAcentral